UACGUAGGUCCCGAGCGUUGUCCGGAUUUAUUGGGCGUAAAGCGAGUGCAGGCGGUUUAUUAAGUCUGGUGUAAAAGGCAGUGGCUCAACCAUUGUAUGCAUUGGAAACUUGUAGGCUUGAGUGCAGGAGAGGAGAGUGGAAUUCCAUGUGUAGCGGUGAAAUGCGUAGAUAUAUGGAGGAACCCCGGUGGCGAAAGCGGCUCUCUGGCCUGUAACUGACCCUGAGGCUCCAAAGCGUUGGGAGCAAACAG
This 251-nucleotide ribosomal RNA is filed under the name uncultured Lactococcus sp. RNAcentral's name for it is "partial 16S ribosomal RNA". It matches the Rfam family "Bacterial small subunit ribosomal RNA", at positions 524 to 775 of the family's 1533-position model. Lineage: Bacteria; Bacillati; Bacillota; Bacilli; Lactobacillales; Streptococcaceae. The record is from RNAcentral.